AAUUUUUAUGGAGAGUUUGAUCCUGGCUCAGGAUGAACGCUGGCGGCGUGCCUAAUACAUGCAAG
RNAcentral lists this ribosomal RNA (65 nucleotides) under Staphylococcus aureus. RNAcentral describes it as "partial 16S ribosomal RNA". It matches the Rfam family "Bacterial small subunit ribosomal RNA", at positions 1 to 61 of the family's 1533-position model. Lineage: Bacteria; Bacillati; Bacillota; Bacilli; Caryophanales; Staphylococcaceae. The record is from RNAcentral. RNAcentral also lists the same sequence under 2 other names.